This 434-nucleotide ribosomal RNA is filed under the name uncultured bacterium. RNAcentral's name for it is "partial 16S ribosomal RNA". It matches the Rfam family "Bacterial small subunit ribosomal RNA", at positions 29 to 507 of the family's 1533-position model. The record is from RNAcentral.
AGCGAACGCUGGCGGCAGGCCUAGCACAUGCAAGUCGAACGAACCUUUCGGGGUUAGUGGCGGACGGGUGAGUAACACGUGGGAACGUGCCUUUAGGUUCGGAAUAACUCAGGGAAACUUGUGCUAAUACCGAAUGUGCCCUUCGGGGGAAAGAUUUAUCGCCUUUAGAGCGGCCCGCGUCUGAUUAGCUAGUUGGUGGAGGUAAUGGCUCACCAAGGCGACGAUCAGUAGCUGGUCUGAGAGGAUGAUCAGCCACAUUGGGACUGAGACACGGCCCAAACUCCUACGGGAGGCAGCAGUGGGGAAUCUUGCGCAAUGGGCGAAAGCCUGACGCAGCCAUGCCGCGUGAAUGAUGAAGGUCUUAGGAUUGUAAAAUUCUUUCACCGGGGACGAUAAUGACGGUACCCGGAGAAGAAGCCCCGGCUAACUUCGUG